Lagenorhynchus albirostris (white-beaked dolphin) is the source of this 501-nucleotide long non-coding RNA. RefSeq lists it as uncharacterized. The record is from RefSeq and is a predicted model, not a curated record. The transcript has 3 exons. Lineage: Eukaryota; Metazoa; Chordata; Mammalia; Artiodactyla; Delphinidae.
GUGAGUUUCCUGCAACCCCUCAGCAUUGAAGGCCACAGGAAAACCUCUCUUUUCACUGAAGUUCUCCAAAACACAAGCUGCUGGAGUAAAGACACCCAUGCCACAUAGGAGGUCAAGAAGGUCGAGUGCAUCAGAGCCCAUGGAACAACAGACUGCAGACAGUGGCAGCUCUCAGCCUGCUGCUUGGCGACGACAGGCUGUCCUUAGAGAAAGGCCCCCAAAGCAAGAACUGAGGAAGCAGCUGUGAAAAUGAGCCCCAUCUGAAAUGUGUCUCACCAGCUCCCUCCUCUCCACUUCGAACCACCGAGAGAUGCCAGGCAAGCUGUGGGUCAGGGUCAGCGUGGUGCGCUCGAUCCACAGGCUCUGCAGGGAAGGCACAGAGCACAGGCUCUGGAUGCGCAGGCUCAGCGGCCAUGGCUCAUGGGCCCAGCCGCUCCGUGGCAUGUGGGAUCUUCCCGGACUGAGGUGCAAACCCAUGUCCCCUGCAUCGGCAGGCAGACC